RNAcentral lists this ribosomal RNA (555 nucleotides) under Bifidobacterium breve. Its description in RNAcentral is "bacterial SSU rRNA". It matches the Rfam family "Bacterial small subunit ribosomal RNA", at positions 146 to 711 of the family's 1533-position model. The record is from RNAcentral. Lineage: Bacteria; Bacillati; Actinomycetota; Actinomycetes; Bifidobacteriales; Bifidobacteriaceae.
UCUCCUGGAAAAGGGUGGUAAUGCCGGAUGCUCCAUCACACCGCAUGGUGUUUUGGGAAAGCCUUUGCGGCAUGGGAUGGGGUCGCGUCCUAUCAGCUUGAUGGCGGGGUAACGGCCCACCAUGGCUUCGACGGGUAGCCGGCCUGAGAGGGCGACCGGCCACAUUGGGACUGAGAUACGGCCCAGACUCCUACGGGAGGCAGCAGUGGGGAAUAUUGCACAAUGGGCGCAAGCCUGAUGCAGCGACGCCGCGUGAGGGAUGGAGGCCUUCGGGUUGUAAACCUCUUUUGUUAGGGAGCAAGGCAUUUUGUGUUGAGUGUACCUUUCGAAUAAGCACCGGCUAACUACGUGCCAGCAGCCGCGGUAAUACGUAGGGUGCAAGCGUUAUCCGGAAUUAUUGGGCGUAAAGGGCUCGUAGGCGGUUCGUCGCGUCCGGUGUGAAAGUCCAUCGCUUAACGGUGGAUCCGCGCCGGGUACGGGCGGGCUUGAGUGCGGUAGGGGAGACUGGAAUUCCCGGUGUAACGGUGGAAUGUGUAGAUAUCGGGAAGAACACCA